RNAcentral lists this ribosomal RNA (429 nucleotides) under Bacteroidota bacterium. RNAcentral describes it as "Bacteroidetes bacterium partial 16S ribosomal RNA". It matches the Rfam family "Bacterial small subunit ribosomal RNA", at positions 355 to 776 of the family's 1533-position model. The record is from RNAcentral. Lineage: Bacteria; Pseudomonadati; Bacteroidota.
UAGGGAAUCUUCCGCAAUGGACGCAAGUCUGACGGAGCAACGCCGCGUGAGUGAAGAAGGAUUUCGGUUCGUAAAACUCUGUUGUUAGAGAAGAACAGCGCAUAGAGUAACUGUUAUGCGUGUGACGGUAUCUAACCAGAAAGCCACGGCUAACUACGUGCCAGCAGCCGCGGUAAUACGUAGGUGGCAAGCGUUGUCCGGAUUUAUUGGGCGUAAAGCGAGCGCAGGCGGUCAAUUAAGUCUGAUGCGAAAGCCCCCGGCUCAACCGGGGAGGGUCAUUGGAAACUGGUUGACUUGAGUGCAGAAGAGGAGAGUGGAAUUCCAUGUGUAGCGGUGAAAUGCGUAGAUAUAUGGAGGAACACCAGUGGCGAAGGCGACUCUCUGGUCUGUAACUGACGCUGAGGCUCGAAAGCGUGGGUAGCAAACAGG